UAUAAAGCUUAAGCGUCAACAAGGGGGCAGUUGUGGCUAAAAGUAACACAACCCUUACUGCUUACAAGAAACAGAGCUAGUUAUUAAAGGAAGAUGAAGAUAUAGGCUCUUCUAUCAUUCAAUUAGCUACUUAUCCCUGUAUCAGUGGAAUGCCAUUGCGCUAAACAAUGACCUAAUAGUGGAAAAUAUACAAUGUUUAUUGAAGUUCCCAUUCCUAUGCCUCUUAUAUUUGCAAGGAUAAGGAUAAGCGCAAGAAUAAGGAAUUACCGAUGGCAGCACCACCAUAACUGGAAAAAGGGAAGAUUUUAGAAGAGAUUAAAAAAUUCAAACUUUGAGUGAUGAGCUACAAGGAGGAUUAGAAUCAUAAUCAACAGGAUGACUUAUUGACUUCGGCAGCUAAAGACAUGGAAUUAUCAAAGACUUCAGAUAUGGAACUUCUUGUAUUUCGAUAUGAUUUAGUUUGUCUACAAUAUACCACCUGAGCUAAUGUAAGUGUACUAGAUUAUUUUGGGGGUGGUAACACUUGCACAGUCUACCCUGGUUUAUAAUGCAUUUUUCUCAAUUUUAAUGAUAAUUCUAUUGGAAUUGUGUUACUGUUUAUGGGCACGUGAGAGUGAGUAGCGGCAUAGGCAAAGCCAACCCACUUUUG
Molecule: long non-coding RNA, 649 nt
Organism: Spinacia oleracea (spinach)
Lineage: Eukaryota; Viridiplantae; Streptophyta; Magnoliopsida; Caryophyllales; Amaranthaceae
Exons: 3
Source: RefSeq, a predicted model, not a curated record